GCGACCAUUCCACGUUGGAAACAUCGGUUCUCGUCCGAUAACCGAAGUUAGGUAACGUUGGGUCCGGUUAGAACUCCGGAUCUGUGCUACUACCUUGACGAGGUGGUC
Non-coding RNA from Paragonimus skrjabini miyazakii, 108 nucleotides. Lineage: Eukaryota; Metazoa; Platyhelminthes; Trematoda; Plagiorchiida; Troglotrematidae. The record is from the annotation of a GenBank genome assembly.